UAAAGUGUUGGCUCCUCUGACAUCCUGUCACCCUAUUGAUUGCCAGGGUUUGUUUGGCUGAUGUGGCUGGGCUGGUGGGUGUCCUGCUCCUCCCUCACAGUUCUGUGUAUGUGUUUCCUGAAGCUGCACGCUCAACUCAGAGAGGAUGACCUUCCCCCAGGAUGGUUUUUCGGUUAAGGGUAAGUUAGUAGCUGUGCUCUCCUACUAGAACCUCCAAACAAGUUCCUUAGUAUCUUCUAAUGAUGACGGAUCAUUAUGAGAUCAUUAAAUAUAUUUUAUGUAUUUCAGUGCUUUGAUUUAUUAU
This 304-nucleotide small nuclear RNA is filed under the name Ovis aries (sheep). Its description in RNAcentral is "7SK RNA". It matches the Rfam family "7SK RNA". Rfam says of the family: 7SK was discovered as an abundant small nuclear RNA in the mid-70s but a possible function has only recently been suggested. Two independent studies have found that 7SK RNA binds the CDK9/cyclin T complex (known as elongation factor P-TEFb). P-TEFb activates transcription by phosphorylating the C-terminal domain of RNA polymerase II. The record is from Rfam by way of RNAcentral. Lineage: Eukaryota; Metazoa; Chordata; Mammalia; Artiodactyla; Bovidae.